RNAcentral lists this ribosomal RNA (493 nucleotides) under uncultured bacterium. RNAcentral's name for it is "partial 16S ribosomal RNA". It matches the Rfam family "Bacterial small subunit ribosomal RNA", at positions 28 to 507 of the family's 1533-position model. The record is from RNAcentral.
GACGAACGCUGGCGGCGUGCCUAAUACAUGCAAGUUGAGCGACGAACCAGGGCUUGCCCUGGGGCAAAGCAGCGAACGGGUGAGUAACACGUGGGUAACCUACCCCGAUAACCGGGACAACCCGAGGAAACUCGGGCUAAUACCUGAUGUGCUCACUGGACUUCGGUUUAGUGCGUAAAUGAAGCUCCGGCCUCCGUAUCGGGAGGGGCCCGCGGCCCAUUAGUUUGUUGGUGAGGUAACGGCUCACCAAGACCGCGAUGGGUAGCUGGUCUGAGAGGACGAUCAGCCACACUGGGACUGAGACACGGCCCAGACUCCUACGGGAGGCAGCAGUGGGGAAUCUUGCGCAAUGCGCGAAAGCGUGACGCAGCAACGCCGCGUGGGGGAAGAAGGCCUUCGGAUUGUAAACCCCUUUCAGGAGGGACGAAGAUUCGGCGGUGAAUAGCCGUCCGGACUGACGGUACCUCCACAAGAAGCCCCGGCUAACUACGUG